GAUGAACGCUGGCGGCGUGCCUAAUACAUGCAAGUCGAGCGAACAGACGAGAAGCUUUCUUCUCUGACGUUAGCGGCGGACGGGUGAGUAACACGUGGAUAACCUACCUAUAAGACUGGGAUAACUUCGGGAAACCGGAGCUAAUACCGGAUAAUAUUUUGAACCGCAUGGUUCAAAAGUGAAAGACGGCUUUGCUUUCACUUAUAGAUGGAGCCGCGCUGGAUUAGCUAGUUGGUAAGGUAACGGCUUACCAAGGCAACGAUCCGUAGCCGACCUGAGAGGGUGACCAGCCACACUGGAACUGAGACACGGUCCAGACUCCUACGGGAGGCAGCAGUGGGGAAUAUUGCACAAUGGGCGCAAGCCUGAUGGAGCCAUGCCGCGUGUAUGAAGAAGGCCUUCGGGUUGUAAAAUACUGUUAGUGGGGAGGAAGGAAGGAAAGAGAAAACCUUCACUCAUUGACGGUACCCGAAGAAGAAGCCCCGGCUAACUCCGUG
Molecule: ribosomal RNA, 497 nt
Filed under: uncultured bacterium
Lineage: Bacteria
Description: partial 16S ribosomal RNA
Rfam family: Bacterial small subunit ribosomal RNA
Source: RNAcentral